Strigops habroptila (Kakapo) is the source of this 3208-nucleotide long non-coding RNA. RefSeq lists it as uncharacterized. The transcript has 3 exons. The record is from RefSeq and is a predicted model, not a curated record. Lineage: Eukaryota; Metazoa; Chordata; Aves; Psittaciformes; Psittacidae.
GCAUUCACUAUUGCUCCUUACUGAAGGGAAUAUAAGUGAGAGUUCAGAAGUCUUCAGGACACUUUUCUGGUGUGGCAUUAUUGGCACUUAAAGCUGCGUAGCUGAGGUUCAGCAUGCUGAUAACACAAAUCUCACCACAGUCUGAGAAGAUGAUGUAUUAAAAAUUAAUUCUUGUAGUGACUUUUGAAUGCUUAGGUGUUUGGUGUGCUCGCUGCUGCUCAAAAAGGCUUUGCAAAGUUGCUUUCUGUGUCAGUGAAAGGUUAGCUCGUCUUUAGUGUGGAUCCUCUUGUAUCACAAUGGAGAAAUUACUGGUUACUAGAGUAAAUGUUUACACUAAUACUCACAAUUUCACACAUCUUGCAGUACAAAUGAAGGUGUGUGACUUGUAAUUGUAGAAGCUAUUCUAAAAACAAACAAAUCUGUUAGGUUGUAACAUGUCUGAACAAGAUUAGGUGUGUAGUAUCCCUGUUGUCUUUGGCUCUUUCUCUGUAUUUAAACCUUUGGGAAAUCUGAAGACUGAAACCUUUGAUAGGGGAGUCCUCUGAAGUGAAGUCACAAAAGCAUUGACUCAGGAUGCCUCCCUUCCUCUUCCUGCCCAUCAGAAAGAACUUCCCAAAAAAAUUCCAGUUUUCCAAAUUUUAAAUGCCUUCUUUUAAUUGCCAACAGCUUGUAUGUCCUCUGUUACCCCAUUUGUCACUAACUAAAAAUGUUAAACAAUCAUUAAAAUGUUGUAUCUUGUACUCCUGCUGCUACGGGCAGCUGAUGGAAGUGAAGUUCUUGAAAGGAGGAUAUUUUUCUCUGCUCUUCUGUUUUCCCCACUGCACAAAGAAACAACAAUACCAAACCUUUGGGCCUCAUUUCUAUUCUUCACAGGUCUGUGUGUUUAGUUUGAGCUUUGCUGCUGCUUUUAGCUCUAUAAUUGGGCUUCUCCCAUCUCAGUACUUAAAGACAUGGAAGAAACUACCUAUUGGUGCAGUCUGGAUCUACAUAAACUGUUGAAAGAAUGCCAGGUAAACCUGUGUUUUCCUCUACCUGCUUUUGGGUUUUACUGUUUUGCUUAUAAACCAUGGCAUAGGUAUAAAUGGGAUUUUAAAGUGGAUGGUAUCCAAUUUGUAUCUCUGUGGAAGACUUAAAAGGGGAGAAGGUAUAUAUUGAUUGUGUCUUCUCUGAUAUGUUUUUCUUAGUGUGUGUUUGGGGAUUUUUUUUUAAAUCUACUAGUUUGAAUGUCUUGUUUUUAAGAUGGCUUGAAGCAUGUUUUCACGCUUCAGUCACAGGUCCAUAGCCUUUAACAUUGCUGUUUUAGCAGGUAUUGUUUGAUUAGAAAUACAUGGUUUUAUUGCGUCAUUAGCAGCUCUUUAGGCACAGUUGCCAGGAGGGCACACUAUGCAUAGUCUGGCUGUUUUAACCUAAAUUUUCCUUCCAGUAUGUCUGUGUUGCAGAAGUACAGCAAUCCAAAGAUCUGCAUAGAUGCAAUGCGUCAAGACGGAUCUUCUGGACAGUUUGUUUUCUAGAUACUGCCCAAAAGACAAACCACCUCCAGUGAUGCACAUUCGGGAAUCUCAUAUCAACUCUUAACCUCCAUUUUCUUCACCAGUUUUUCUGGAAGCUGAACAGAAAAGUAAAACCAAUAUCUCUUUGACAAUACUGUAAUACCCAUCAGCUGACAAUUUCAGUUUUGUUAACUGACAACAUCUGAGAAGGAGGAUUAUUCAUGAAUAUGUGAACUGUGGUAAAGAUGCCUCCAAGCUGACACUGUUUUCCCAUGCUGAUGUACAACUGGAAUAAAUGAGGCUGAGGCAGCUAUGACUUUACUCCACUUUACAGAGAAGCAUCAGCGCAGAGAUGAAGCAGCUUUGCCCCAACUGCCCCAACAGUGCAAUUCUGAAAUGGAGUUGGAAACUGAAUGCAGUUAUCCAGAGGCCCGAGUCUGUGGCUGAAUUUCAAUUUGUGUCGUGAGGAUUUAUACAGGAACUGUUAGUGGAUAAAAAAAAAGAGGAGCAGCACUGUGAGCAUUACCUUUUGCUUCAUGGUAAUUUUUGCACUGGAUGUUCUCUUCCUCAUCUAUUUACUCACACCACCUCCUAGACCAUCUCAUCGAUCCUUCUUGCUCCUACAGACCUUGUGGCUGAGGUUCCCUGGAAGUAGCUGUGGAGCGAUUUGGUUGUGAAAGAAGAUGGGUUGCUGUUACCAUUUAACCAAACAACACAUGCACCACUUGGAUGGCCAUUCAAGUGGCAGAGAACACCAGUGGGAGGCCAGAAGGAGCUUUCCUUAAUUUAAAGGGUUCAAAAUCUGCUGGGAACUUGUGGCUGCUUUCUCUUCAGUGAUGGGGCAGUGGAGCUGACAGGUUUUAUGCAUUCUGCUCUGCAAGCUGCAGAUUGUGAAUGUAGGUGGUGGUGCUUGCUUGGGAUGCCUUGAUGUGUAUGCUUUGCCUGGUGAGGAGAGGGCAAGUAAAGGUUUUAUAGUGUUCACCCAAGAGAUCUACCAGUGACUUCAGUGUAAAAGUCAAAGCACUGGGUAAUAGACAAGUUUUCUUAGGAGGAAUAGGUUAUGCCCUAGAAUCUAGAACAAAAAUUUGCAUGUAAGACACCAGUAGUUCUUCAUAGUGUAUGUAACUGGUUUCUUGGUGAAGCCAAAAUAAGAAAAAAAUAGGUAAGGAUUUUUACCAGCCCCCAAAAAACUCAGUGGGAAAUGGUAAAGUAAAAUAGCUCUGAAGCAAGGUAUUUUUAUACUAAAAACCAGCAGAUGUGUCCUAGAUUUUUGCCACAGGCAUCCAAAUUCCAGUCAUCACUUACUGCACAGCUUUAGGUGGUAGCUGGAAUCUGUGCUUGAUCUAGAACUUCACGUAUUUGUGUCGUUCCAGCAUGGUCCUCAUUGUAGGUAUAUCUGGUUUCGCAGCAUUGGAGUGCCAUCCUUUCUCAUGAUUCAUACCAACCUCUGCUUUGACUGGGGUCUAAUUUAUGGGUGUUAAAUCUACAAGAAUGGGUACAAUUUAUUUGCAUACUGCAGAUUCUCACAUCUAAUUCUUGCAUCUAUUUCUAAGAGUUGUAGGUCACUCUGUCCAACUAUAACCCACGGCGGCUAACAUAAGUAGAAACCUAUAGCAGACUUGAGCUUCUAACAUAUAUUAAAGUAGUGAUCAUCUCAAUGCAAUAAAAAAAAGGCACUGCCAAGAUCUAAUUUACUGUGUUUCUAACUGUCUUGUAAU